Molecule: ribosomal RNA, 505 nt
Filed under: uncultured bacterium
Lineage: Bacteria
Description: partial 16S ribosomal RNA
Rfam family: Bacterial small subunit ribosomal RNA
Source: RNAcentral
GACGAACGCUGGCGGCGUGCCUAAUACAUGCAAGUAGAACGCACAGUUUAUACCGUAGCUUGCUACACCAUAGACUGUGAGUUGCGAACGGGUGAGUAACGCGUAGGUAACCUGCCUGGUAGCGGGGGGUAACUAUUGGGAACGAUAGCUAAUACCGCAUAAUAUUCAUUAUUGCAUGGUAAUUAAUUGAAUGGUGCAAUUGCACCACUACCAGAUGGACCUGUGUUGUAUUAGCUAGUAGGUGAGGUAACGGCGCACCUAGGCGACGAUACAUAGCCGACCUGAGAGGGUGAACGGCCACACUGGGACUGAGACCCGGCCCAGACUCCUUCGGGAGGCAGCAGGAGGGAAUCUUCGGGAAUAGGCGAAAGUCUGAACGAGCAACGCCGCGGGAGGGAAGAAGGUUUUCGGGUCGUAAAGAUCUGUUGUAUGAGAAGAACGGGUGUGAGAGUGGAAAGUGCACGCUGUGACGGUAUCUUAUCAGAAAGGGACGGCUAACUACGUG